GAUCCUGGCUCAGGAUGAACGCUAGCGACAGGCUUAACACAUGCAAGUCGAGGGGCAGCACAGGUAGCAAUACCGGGUGGCGACCGGCGCACGGGUGAGUAACGCGUAUGCAACUUGCCUAUCAGAGGGGGAUAACCCGGCGAAAGUCGGACUAAUACCGCAUGAAGCAGGGGCCCCGCAUGGGGAUAUUUGCUAAAGAUUACAUCGCUGAUAGAGUAGGCAGUGUCCGUUACCUAG
RNAcentral lists this ribosomal RNA (237 nucleotides) under uncultured bacterium. RNAcentral describes it as "partial 16S ribosomal RNA". It matches the Rfam family "Bacterial small subunit ribosomal RNA", at positions 15 to 248 of the family's 1533-position model. The record is from RNAcentral.